This 517-nucleotide ribosomal RNA is filed under the name uncultured bacterium. RNAcentral's name for it is "bacterial SSU rRNA". It matches the Rfam family "Bacterial small subunit ribosomal RNA", at positions 356 to 896 of the family's 1533-position model. The record is from RNAcentral.
GGGGAAUUUUGCACAAUGGGGGAAACCCUGAUGCAGCGACGCCGCGUGAUUUAGAAGGCCUUCGGGUUGUAAAAAUCUUUUGUAUAGGAAGAAAAUGACAGUACUAUACGAAUAAGGUCCGGCUAAUUACGUGCCAGCAGCCGCGGCAAUACGUAAGGACCGAGCGUUGUCCGGAAUCAUUGGGCGUAAAGGGUACGUAGGCGGGUCACUAAGUUAGAAGUCAAAGGCUAUAGCUCAACUAUAGUAAGCUUCUAAAACUGGAGACCUUGAGUAAUGGAAGGGAAAGUGGAAUUCCUAGUGUAGCGGUGGAAUGCGCAGAUAUUAGGAGGAAUACCGGUGGCGAAGGCGACUUUCUGGCCAUUAACUGACGCUGAGGUACGAAAGCGUGGGUAGCAAACAGGAUUAGAUACCCUGGUAGUCCACGCCGUAAACGAUGAGUGUUAGGUGUCUGGAGUAAAUCUGGGUGCCGCAGCUAACGCAUUAAACACUCCGCCUGGGGAGUACGCACGCAAGUGUG